Molecule: ribosomal RNA, 305 nt
Filed under: uncultured bacterium
Lineage: Bacteria
Description: bacterial SSU rRNA
Rfam family: Bacterial small subunit ribosomal RNA
Source: RNAcentral
UCCUACGGGGCGCAGCAGUGAGGAAUAUUGGUUAAUGGUCGGGAGACUGAACCAGCCAAGCCGCGUGAGGGAUGAAGGUACAGAGUAUCGUAAACCUCUUUUGUCAGGGAACAAAGGCGGGGACGUGUCCCCGGAUGAGUGUACCUGAAGAAAAAGCAUCGGCUAACUCCGUGCCAGCAGCCGCGGUAAUACGAAGGAUGCGAGCGUUAUCCGGAUUUAUUGGGUUUAAAGGGUGCGCAGGCGGUCUGUUAAGUCAGCGGUCAAAGCCCGGGGCUCAACCCCGGCCCGCCGUUGAAACUGGCAGU